This 223-nucleotide non-coding RNA is filed under the name Rossellomorea vietnamensis. RNAcentral describes it as "Bacillus vietnamensis T-box sequence". It matches the Rfam family "T-box leader". Rfam says of the family: Uncharged tRNA acts as the effector for transcription antitermination of genes in the T-box leader family. The record is from RNAcentral. Lineage: Bacteria; Bacillati; Bacillota; Bacilli; Caryophanales; Bacillaceae.
AUCGAAACGUUGAUCAGGAGUAGUAAUGACGGUUUUCUGUCGUAGAGAGUUGACGGGUGGUGAAAGUCAACCAGAAGCAUCAUGAACUCGCCUGCUGAGUUGCAAGUGUGAAGUAACAGUAAGACUUGCCGUUUUCCGCGUUAAGGAUGAAUGAAGCUGAGUGCGCGUACACUAAUGUGGGUGGUACCGCGGGAGAAUGUACAUACAGACUCUCGUCCCAAAU